This 2417-nucleotide ribosomal RNA is filed under the name Klebsiella pneumoniae. RNAcentral describes it as "partial 23S ribosomal RNA". It matches the Rfam family "Bacterial large subunit ribosomal RNA", at positions 419 to 2823 of the family's 2925-position model. The record is from RNAcentral. RNAcentral also lists the same sequence under 1 other name. Lineage: Bacteria; Pseudomonadati; Pseudomonadota; Gammaproteobacteria; Enterobacterales; Enterobacteriaceae.
GGGACACGUGGUAUCCUGUCUGAAUAUGGGGGGACCAUCCUCCAAGGCUAAAUACUCCUGACUGACCGAUAGUGAACCAGUACCGUGAGGGAAAGGCGAAAAGAACCCCGGCGAGGGGAGUGAAAAAGAACCUGAAACCGUGUACGUACAAGCAGUGGGAGCACCUUCGGGUGUGACUGCGUACCUUUUGUAUAAUGGGUCAGCGACUUAUAUUCUGUAGCAAGGUUAACCGUAUAGGGGAGCCGCAGGGAAACCGAGUCUUAACUGGGCGUUAAGUUGCAGGGUAUAGACCCGAAACCCGGUGAUCUAGCCAUGGGCAGGUUGAAGGUUGGGUAACACUAACUGGAGGACCGAACCGACUAAUGUUGAAAAAUUAGCGGAUGACUUGUGGCUGGGGGUGAAAGGCCAAUCAAACCGGGAGAUAGCUGGUUCUCCCCGAAAGCUAUUUAGGUAGCGCCUCGUGAACUCAUCUUCGGGGGUAGAGCACUGUUUCGGCUAGGGGGUCAUCCCGACUUACCAACCCGAUGCAAACUACGAAUACCGAAGAAUGUUAUCACGGGAGACACACGGCGGGUGCUAACGUCCGUCGUGAAGAGGGAAACAACCCAGACCGCCAGCUAAGGUCCCAAAGUCAUGGUUAAGUGGGAAACGAUGUGGGAAGGCACAGACAGCCAGGAUGUUGGCUUAGAAGCAGCCAUCAUUUAAAGAAAGCGUAAUAGCUCACUGGUCGAGUCGGCCUGCGCGGAAGAUGUAACGGGGCUAAACCAUGCACCGAAGCUGCGGCAGCGACACUAUGUGUUGUUGGGUAGGGGAGCGUUCUGUAAGCCUGCGAAGGUGACCUGUGAGGGUUGCUGGAGGUAUCAGAAGUGCGAAUGCUGACAUAAGUAACGAUAAAGCGGGUGAAAAGCCCGCUCGCCGGAAGACCAAGGGUUCCUGUCCAACGUUAAUCGGGGCAGGGUGAGUCGACCCCUAAGGCGAGGCCGAAAGGCGUAGUCGAUGGGAAACAGGUUAAUAUUCCUGUACUUGGUGUUACUGCGAAGGGGGGACGGAGAAGGCUAUGUUAGCCGGGCGACGGUUGUCCCGGUUUAAGCAUGUAGGCUGGUUAUCCAGGCAAAUCCGGAUAAUCAAGGCUGAGGUGUGAUGACGAGGCACUACGGUGCUGAAGUAACAAAUGCCCUGCUUCCAGGAAAAGCCUCUAAGCAUCAGGUAACAUCAAAUCGUACCCCAAACCGACACAGGUGGUCAGGUAGAGAAUACCAAGGCGCUUGAGAGAACUCGGGUGAAGGAACUAGGCAAAAUGGUGCCGUAACUUCGGGAGAAGGCACGCUGGUGUGUAGGUGAAGUCCCUGCGGAUGGAGCUGAGACCAGUCGAAGAUACCAGCUGGCUGCAACUGUUUAUUAAAAACACAGCACUGUGCAAACACGAAAGUGGACGUAUACGGUGUGACGCCUGCCCGGUGCCGGAAGGUUAAUUGAUGGGGUUAUCCGUAAGGAGAAGCUCUUGAUCGAAGCCCCGGUAAACGGCGGCCGUAACUAUAACGGUCCUAAGGUAGCGAAAUUCCUUGUCGGGUAAGUUCCGACCUGCACGAAUGGCGUAAUGAUGGCCAGGCUGUCUCCACCCGAGACUCAGUGAAAUUGAACUCGCUGUGAAGAUGCAGUGUACCCGCGGCAAGACGGAAAGACCCCGUGAACCUUUACUAUAGCUUGACACUGAACAUUGAGCCUUGAUGUGUAGGAUAGGUGGGAGGCUUUGAAGCGUGGACGCCAGUCUGCGUGGAGCCAACCUUGAAAUACCACCCUUUAAUGUUUGAUGUUCUAACGUUGGCCCCUGACCGGGGUUGCGGACAGUGUCUGGUGGGUAGUUUGACUGGGGCGGUCUCCUCCCAAAGCGUAACGGAGGAGCACGAAGGUUAGCUAAUCCUGGUCGGACAUCAGGAGGUUAGUGCAAUGGCAUAAGCUAGCUUGACUGCGAGCGUGACGGCGCGAGCAGGUGCGAAAGCAGGUCAUAGUGAUCCGGUGGUUCUGAAUGGAAGGGCCAUCGCUCAACGGAUAAAAGGUACUCCGGGGAUAACAGGCUGAUACCGCCCAAGAGUUCAUAUCGACGGCGGUGUUUGGCACCUCGAUGUCGGCUCAUCACAUCCUGGGGCUGAAGUAGGUCCCAAGGGUAUGGCUGUUCGCCAUUUAAAGUGGUACGCGAGCUGGGUUUAGAACGUCGUGAGACAGUUCGGUCCCUAUCUGCCGUGGGCGCUGGAGAAUUGAGGGGGGCUGCUCCUAGUACGAGAGGACCGGAGUGGACGCAUCACUGGUGUUCGGGUUGUCAUGCCAAUGGCACUGCCCGGUAGCUAAAUGCGGAAGAGAUAAGUGCUGAAAGCAUCUAAGCACGAAACUUGCCCCGAGAUGAGUUCUCCCUGAGACUU